UACAGAGGGUGCAAGCGUUAAUCGGAAUUACUGGGCGUAAAGCGUGCGUAGACGGUUACAUAAGUCGGGUGUGAAAGCCCCGGGCUCAACCUGGGAAUUGCAUUCGAGACUGCGUAGCUAGGGUGCGGAAGAGGGAAGCGGAAUUUCCGGUGUAGCGGUGAAAUGCGUAGAUAUCAGGAAGAACACCCGUGGCUAAGGCGGCUCUCUAGUACGGUACUGACGCUGAGACGCGAAAGCGUGGGGAGCGAACAGG
This 253-nucleotide ribosomal RNA is filed under the name uncultured bacterium. Its description in RNAcentral is "partial 16S ribosomal RNA". It matches the Rfam family "Bacterial small subunit ribosomal RNA", at positions 524 to 776 of the family's 1533-position model. The record is from RNAcentral.